Triplophysa dalaica is the source of this 875-nucleotide long non-coding RNA. RefSeq lists it as uncharacterized. NCBI's taxonomy places the organism in Eukaryota, Metazoa, Chordata, Actinopteri, Cypriniformes, Nemacheilidae. The record is from RefSeq and is a predicted model, not a curated record. The transcript has 5 exons.
UAAAAAUGGUGUUUUCAUGGGAUGACUUUAACCAGAAACUCGGUGAGCUAGCAGUGACUCUAGACAGCCAUGGUGUGUGAAUAUUUAAACACCAAGUUAUACUAAAACUUUGUGAAGGAACCAGAACAGCAGGUGCGGGUUGAACUAAUGACAGGACUCCAUUUUACUGGCUGUCAUAUCCCAGCAUGCUCGCUGCUGUCCAGUCGAGUGCACCGAGUAAAAGAUGACAAGCUGACAGCUCACCACACAGGAUACCAGGCAUCUAAUGACAUUCUGAUUCGCUAUCAGACCGCAGUUUAAAAAACAGGCACCUGCCAGGCUAAUCAGUUCCCAACACCUGGUCCUUGCAGUAAUGUCAGCAUAAAAACAGUAGGGCAGGGAGAGCAAACUGGUGCAAGAGUUAUACAGACUGAAGGACACAUAGUAAGAGAAAGCCCACUCCCCCACCCGAAGCAGUUCUUCUCCGCUGCCUUCGAUCCAUCGCUCCAUGCCUCUACCCCACACUCUCCUGCUGUUGCUCCAGAUAUUAAAACAAAUCAGCCAUGAAAUAAGCUCCUUCCUCUGUCCUUAGCGGCGCUGUCGGAGCUCAUUCCUGUCUACAUCAGACACUUUCACCCGCCCACCGUCUCUCUGCAAAGCUGCCUCUGCCACCCUUAACUUUCCCAACAGACUGUCCAACGCUGCUGGGGCUUCACCCCUUUGGCUUAAUCUCUUCCCCUCCUUUCGGAAAAGCAUUGGCUUUAUGGUGCACUAAAUAUAUUGCUUUGUUCCAAAACCUUAGUGAGGCAGUGAAGACUGUGUUUCAAAAUGUAAAAAUCCUUAUUACUUUGCCUCCUAAAAUGCCUCAUUCUGGGAGCAUUUCAUGAAAAGUGCAA